CUGGUUGGGGGGGGCCGAGACCCAUGUCCCCUCCUGGCUGGGGUGAGGGGUCCCCUGUCCCCUCCUGGCUGAAGGUGGGGUGUGGUGUCCCAUGUCCCCUCCUGGUUGGACUGGGGGGGAACCCGUGUCCCUUCCUGGCUAGGGGGGGGAUGACCCAUGUCCCCUCCUGGCCAGGGAUGCAUUGGAAGAAGGAUGGGGGGGGGCAUGCCCCUAUCUGUCUGGGGUGGCCUGUGUCCCCUCCUUGCUCUCAGAGGGUCCCAUGUCCCCACUUGGCUGUGGGGCCAGGAUGUGAUGCAGAGGCGGGGUGGCCCAUGCCCUUGGCCGCGGGGCCAGGGUCCCUGGCGAGAAGCUUCUUGCACCCAAGCGAGCACUUCGCAACCACCAGUAGCGCAGGACUUGGCGCAGGGAAUGCUCCUUUCUCCUGCAGAGAAGUUUGCUGGUGCCGUUUGUUGUAGUGUGGAUCCUGCACGUUGCUCUGUGGAGCCGGAGAACCCCACCAAAAGCACGGAUUAACCUACAUGGCCUUAAUCGCGACAAGCGGCAACACCACCCGGGUGUGGAUUUUCCCAUACUGUCCUACCCAGGGCUGCACUGCUGUGGGAAUGUGCAUCAUUCCUGGCCAAACUGCACGUGGGGGAUGCUCCAGGUCUCCCCCCGGAAGGUACCAGCACCACAGGCACUGAAAUUCCAGAGCUGUUUAGGUUCUAAAAGACCUUUAAGAUCACCAAGUCCAACCCUAAACCUCACACUGCCAACCCCACCACUAAACUGUGUCCCCAAGCAAACUGUGUCCCCUUUGGACACGACCAUCCUGUUAGCAAACACCCUUUGUCAGGCACAGCUCGUGUUAGAGAGCCGCCCAAAACAGGUGUCCAAAAUCCUUAGCAUGGAUUUCUUUUCAGAGCAGCAGUUUCUUUUCCUUGCUGUGUUUUACAAGCAGCGUUUCAGCUGUCGGGAGCCUACAAACGCAGCAGUGACUGGAAAGCUCCCGGCUAGGAGGGGGCAUUGACGGUGCCGCAGAUGCGCUCCUCUGCGGGCAGGAUUUUGUACCUUGGAUCAGCAGCCUUUGUCACUGCUUGUCACCAUGGGAAAUUAAAUGGGAGGACAGAGGGGCCAGGAAAAAAAUACAAGCACUUUUGAAUUAUCAGACUUCAGAACUGCAUUGAAUUUGAAAGAGUUUGAGCUUUUCAGCAUCUCUUUUAUAUAUAUAUAUAUAUAUAUAUAUUAUUCUCAGCUUACAUGCAAAAUGUGUUGGAUGGGGCUUGGAGCCCCUGAUCCAGUGGGAGGUGUCCCUGCCCAGCAGGGGUGGAACUGGAUGGGCUUUGAGGUCCCUUCCAACCCAAACCAUUCCAUCGUUCUAUGAAUGUGUUUGUUAGAUGCUAAAUGCUGAGGCCCCCGUGACGAGUCACCAAGGUUUAUCUGAAUCAUUCUGCAAUGGUAAAGAACUUGAUAGGAUGAGAAAUGCUACUUUGAGUUCUCAAAUUGGGAUGAAAAAGCUAAUUACUUGCUUUUUCCUGUAAAUCAAAGACUGGCUAAAAUCUUUGCCUUUCCAGGUCUUCAGUGUUUGAAGGAAACCAUUGUCUGUUGGUGGUAAUAGGACUUUGUUUGUUUGUUUGUAGAAAUCCUCUGUGGUUUUGAAAGCUGACCUUUGUGUCCAAAUCCAAUUGAAAUAAGAAAUAUGCGAGCAGCCCUUUCCUGUGUGUUUGGGAAACACUUUAGAAUGAACAUUCUGGAACGAUCCUUCCAGCAUCUCUUUUAUUACUGCUCAAAUUUCCCAUCUCUCCUCAUUUCAGGGUGUCCAUUUCCUAUCUGUUAAGAAGGUAAUGAAACUGCAUCUCUCUUCAAGGACCUGAAGAACGCGGAGCAGUGAAGGUGUUAACAUAUUAAAGAAAUGGCCUUAUAAAAGAGUUAAUCCUUUCCAGCGGGGCAGGCUAUGAUGUGAGAGGGAUACUUUCCAGUCCUGAGUCUUCCUUAAAGUCUAAAGCAACGAGCGCUGCUACGAUUUUUCCAUGAAACCUGGCUGGCUUUGCUGGCCAGCUGGUGUUCCCCCUGGCCCAGGGUUGGGGUCCGUCUGUCCCCAGCCUGCCCAAGCGUGUCGAGUGUCAGAUGGUGGGGCUGAGCAGCCAGGCAGUGGUAAGAAAUCAGAGAGAUGGCACCAUGUGGAGGCUACACGCUGAAACACGGCCUCUGCCAGUUAUUAAUCGUACAGCGAACGAGCCAGCUUCCCUUUCCUUAGACAAGAAUCCAUGUUCGAGGCCAACCCCGGUCUCAGUCGAGGUUUCUGGGCUGCUUGAGUGGCUCAAGACCUUUAUUGCUUUUCUCCUACUGGUCACAUAGAAUGACCUGAGUUGGAAGGGACCCACAGGGAUUAUCGAGUCCAACUUCUAUCCCUGCGUAUGACAACCCUAAGAUUCACACCCUCUGUCUGAGGGCAUUGGCCAAAUCCUUCUGGGAUGUGGUCAGGCUACUGUGGUAUCGUGCUCUUAUAAAUUGGUGCAUUAUCUCGGUUCCAUAGAGUGAUAUGCGGGCGCUACUUCUUCCCCGAGGCACGGCACCAAAGCUGAAGUGUGAUGCCUUUUUCUCUUCACCUUUGUAACACCAGGACCUAGGUUCAGCUGGUCUGUGCUCAAAACUGAUGGGUAAUCUUAAUUUAUCCAAGCCAGCUUCGAACAGCAGCAUUUUUAGAUAUUCUUGUACACUUGGUGGAGAAUAAGUUAAGAGGAGGCAUCAAGAGGGAAUGACUUCUGUUCUCUUGGAGUUACUGUGUUCAGACAAAGCAGAUUGCUGACGAGCACUGUGGCUUUGGCAUCAUGAUAAGCUGCAUGGACUCAGACCCAGGACUAUCCCACGCACAGGAUGCUCUCUCCAAUGUUUUCUUUACAAUACCAUUUUUUUUUUAAGAUCAUGUAUUCCUCAAUUUGUUUUAACUGAUGCUUUUUCACAGCAUUUUCACUGUUCCAAUACAAAAGAGAUAUAGAAGACACACACGGUAGUUUGAAGCACCAAAUCUAAGUUAAACGCUAUUCGAUUUUCCUAGCAUUUAGGAGGCCAACUGCAAUUGGCAGAUGCUGCAGUCCAGAGAGCUCCCAUAACACUUGCAGGACACUGAACAGCAUGAUCUGCUGGCAGAUGAACAGGAAGAGUUUUCUGCCUCCGUUUGGCUCUAUUUAAAGUCACCUUUUUGAUCAGUUUUUCAGCCUCCGGGGCUGCUCGUGUCCCAUGAGGCUGAUAAAGGAGUUCAUGAGCACAGAAAAAAAAAGAAAAGAUCAGAAUAUUCAUGCAACUGGUUCACAGCAGCAUCGAGACUUCGUGCCAGGCCCUGCGCUCCUUCCACUCUGCCGUGGUGGAAACCAUGAGCAGAUGGUGCAGUACAGUGGAAAAUCAGAUCUCUGAAAACGACCGAGCUGAGAAUAAAACACCUCUAAGCAGAAAUCUACGUUUUACUGCAGGAUGAAAUGAAAAACUGAGAUCUUUGGGCAAAAAGAGUGGUGUAUUCCUCACUCCUUCUCAUCUGAGAAAGCAUCCAUCCCUUCACAGCUGAAGGCUCAUCUCAUUUGUUGUCUUUCAGUUCAUUGAUCUGGAUUCUUGGGGCUUCCACGUGACCGUUCUUUGCUGAACCAACAAGCGUGGUUAUCACUGAGUUUUCUUUCGUUUUUACUUUCUCCCAGACCUUUCCGAGUCUCUGCCCACUUUGGCUGCAGCGUGACCUGAAUUGCAUCCAUCUUUGUUUAAAGCCACUGGAGCAUAAACAUCCGGAUAAAAUAGAUUCCAUCUGAAAUCCGUGGAGUUCUUCUGGAUCCUUCUGAAGGACAUACCUGACAAGGAACCAAAUCCAUUCAUCAGGAGGGCGUUGAAAUAAGGGCACCGUGAUACCCCAUCAUCGUUAUCAUCGUUUAUAACAACUCCACGCACCAAGCUUGCUGGAAAAAUAUCCAAGAUUUUGCCAAUUACUAAAGCAGAUUCUGCUGCCCCAGAGAGUUGCUGCUCCUUGGUAAUUUGCCAUCCGGCUUUUCCUUCCAAAGGGAAAAUGAAUGCACAGGGUGCUUGGGGUCAAUUUUUGGUGGCUGAUAUGAAGUCACUGUCUAUGCUACUGUCAGUGGCCCUUUCACUGUAAUGCGCUUUACUGUACAGGGGACAAAUGCUGUUUCCAUGGCAGUGUAAACAUAAAUACAGGACUCCGGAGUGAGUCACAGGUGCUGCAGGGGAUGGAGAAAGUUCACUGUCUCAAUGUGAACUCAUCUGGGAGAGGAGGAUGGGAUUAUCUCACUUUAAAAAUAUUUUAUAAAUAUGAUGUAAACCAAGAUUUAUUCUGAAUAAGUCCAUGUCUGGGCAGAUAUGGAAGAGAAAUCCUUUGAAGCUAAAGGAAUAAUACAAGGCAGGUUCUUGUUUACAGUGUUCAACUCUAUAACGAGUGUAUUCUUAAAGGAUACACACAACCUGAUAGCUCUGGGAGCCAGUACAAAUUCUCCACGAACCCUUUAUUCCAGGCUUUCACAGAGUUGUGACAAGAAUUUAACGAUUGUGAAUGAAGAGUAAGUUCCAGAGUAAGUGAAUGAAGAGUAAGAGGAGAAGAUGGAUAGAUCUGUGGUGACUACAUAGUGCUGGUACGAAGUACUGAUCGAGAUGCUUCUUUGUGUUGCUUGUGUCAGCCUUAGGAGGUCUGGGCACAUCAAAUGUGUGAUAGGGACCUGUGCCUGGUGCCUGAGAGUUUGAAGACAAAGGCUUUAAAGCCUGAAAUAGCAAGAAUCUGACCUUGAGUAUCAGCAGCGUGCACCUCACAAGUCUCUUGUAAGAUCACUUAUCUAGAGCUUGUACCUGGAUAUAUGGAUUCAGAGGAAAAUGAACCUUGGAUAGAAUUAAAAUCUAAGAUGUAAGGUGCAUGUUGUGACAGGGACAAGAGGUGGUGAGCCCUGUCUUGGGGGAAUAAACCAUGCACUCAGUAAAUAUGGGAGCAAGAGUUUUCCCUAGCAAGAGUUUUCUUCUAAGCCCUAAAACCUAGAGGUUGGGUUAUGAUCCCAAGCCAGAGAGUUUAUAUCCCUUCAUCAGAAUGAAUUAAUUCUUUAACUUUGCAGCUCAGAAAGAGGACUUAACUGCUUCUUCUACUAACCCAAAUCUUUCCCCAGGACCUAUUCUGCCUGCAGAGUAUUCAACUCAAUUGCCCAGAUUUCCAAAGUCUGCUUUGAGCAGGAAUACUUCCUUUUGACCUUACCGCAAGCAAAACCAAAGCAAUGUCACGGCAAAACUGCAGAUUGCUCUUGGCUGGGCUGACGUGUGAAUGUUAACAAUGGGAAUUCAGGACUUGAGAGUCACAAAGGUAAAACAGAUCCUGAAGGCUCAGGAUCGCUAUUUGUACUCAAGGGAGAGCACACAACACCCAGAGAGUUUGGAACAAAGUUAGCAGCAGUAGGAGUUGAGAUCAGCUGUGGGAAUAAGGGUUAAGGGAGAAAUAGACACUUCUAUUACAUCAACUGAUAUAGCUGUGGGUGUUUGACCUAAACCGGCCACAGCCCCGUGGGUGAGGGCCCGAAUCAAAAGGAGAAGGACAAUGAAUCUGCCGGUCGCGGUGUUGGAGGGUGUCUUGGCAUACAGACAUUGAGAUGGUUUGGAAUCCUCCCUCCUGCAGCCAAUGGAAAAUGAAAUGAAUAUCUACAAACAGCAGCAUCUUUCUGAGUGAAGGUGAUGAGUCUGGGCAACUCAUUAACAACACACCACGGCCAGUAACGUCUGCCUCCAGAUCACAUCGGGUGUCGUGCGUGCAGCCUCAGGGAGAAAAGGAAUAUGUGAGGAAAACAGAGGGGGAGCCGUGCUUGGCGCUGGCUGGUUUGGGCUGUUUCAUCACCUCUUCCCUGCCCUUCCCCCAUGGGAACAGUCACUUCUGACUGCUCUGCGCUGUCUGUUUAAAUCACAUCAAUUUAAAAGGGUUAUGCGAGGCUGUAUUUCAUCAAACAUUUGCUGUGACCAGGUGUCUCGCUCUGUCUCCUUUCCCAGAUUUAUCCAGAGGUAAUUAUCUCCUGUUGGACAGGCGUUUCCCCUUGGGGACCAACAAGGAUAUCCACUUAAAAAUUAAAAAAUAAUUGGAACUAACAGAAUGCCUGCAGAUCGCUAUCCUGUUACCCCUGCUCCGGAGCACGGAUCUCGCCCCUGCCAUCUGCUCUGUCCCAAUGGGGCAGGGGUAA
Cuculus canorus (common cuckoo) is the source of this 6176-nucleotide long non-coding RNA. RefSeq lists it as uncharacterized. The record is from RefSeq and is a predicted model, not a curated record. The transcript is spliced from 3 exons. NCBI's taxonomy places the organism in Eukaryota, Metazoa, Chordata, Aves, Cuculiformes, Cuculidae.